Molecule: non-coding RNA, 213 nt
Filed under: Geosporobacter subterraneus
Lineage: Bacteria; Bacillati; Bacillota; Clostridia; Peptostreptococcales; Thermotaleaceae
Description: T-box sequence
Rfam family: T-box leader
About the family: Uncharged tRNA acts as the effector for transcription antitermination of genes in the T-box leader family. T-boxes are found upstream of many aminoacyl-tRNA synthetase genes and some amino acid biosynthetic genes usually in Gram-positive bacteria.
Source: RNAcentral
AAUUUGGCACAGAAGAGAAGUAGUAGGCAUCAGCAUUGCUCAUAGAGAGUCAUCGGCCGGUGGAAGAUGGCAGCAGUGUAUUCCGAACUCGUCUCAGAGCUGUUAGGGUGAAAUGGAUUUAGUAGCUCUAGCCGGAUUCAAUCCGUUAUCAUGUUUGAGGGGGCAGUGAAAAGCUGUCAAAUAGAGUGGUACCGCGAGCCUUUCGUCUCUAAA